CUGCGGCGCUACCUGCAGUCGACGGUAGCACAGAGAGCUUGCUCUCGGGUGACGAGUGGCGGACGGGUGAGUAAUGUCUGGGAAACUGCCUGAUGGAGGGGGAUAACUACUGGAAACGGUAGCUAAUACCGCAUAACGUCGCAAGACCAAAGAGGGGGACCUUCGGGCCUCUUGCCAUCAGAUGUGCCCAGAUGGGAUUAGCUAGUAGGUGGGGUAACGGCUCACCUAGGCGACGAUCCCUAGCUGGUCUGAGAGGAUGACCAGCCACACUGGAACUGAGACACGGUCCAGACUCCUACGGGAGGCAGCAGUGGGGAAUAUUGCACAAUGGGCGCAAGCCUGAUGCAGCCAUGCCGCGUGUAUGAAGAAGGCCUUCGGGUUGUAAAGUACUUUCAGCGGGGAGGAAGGUGUUGUGGUUAAUAACCACAGCAAUUGACGUUACCCGCAGAAGAAGCACCGGCUAACUCCGUGCCAGCAGCCGCGGUAAUACGGAGGGUGCAAGCGUUAAUCGGAAUUACUGGGCGUAAAGCGCACGCAGGCGGUCUGUCAAGUCGGAUGUGAAAUCCCCGGGCUCAACCUGGGAACUGCAUUCGAAACUGG
Molecule: ribosomal RNA, 600 nt
Filed under: Enterobacter cloacae
Lineage: Bacteria; Pseudomonadati; Pseudomonadota; Gammaproteobacteria; Enterobacterales; Enterobacteriaceae
Description: bacterial SSU rRNA
Rfam family: Bacterial small subunit ribosomal RNA
Source: RNAcentral